This 46-nucleotide non-coding RNA is filed under the name Trichobilharzia regenti. Lineage: Eukaryota; Metazoa; Platyhelminthes; Trematoda; Strigeidida; Schistosomatidae. The record is from RNAcentral.
AUCCAGAUGACGAGUCCCAAAUAAGACGAAAUGCGUAUCGCUGUUU